This 898-nucleotide ribosomal RNA is filed under the name uncultured Acidobacteriota bacterium. RNAcentral's name for it is "bacterial SSU rRNA". It matches the Rfam family "Bacterial small subunit ribosomal RNA", at positions 40 to 916 of the family's 1533-position model. The record is from RNAcentral. Lineage: Bacteria; Pseudomonadati; Acidobacteriota.
CAGGGGGCAGCUACCAUGCAGUCGACGCGUAACGGGGGCAACUCCCGGUAGCGUGGCACACGGGUGAGUAACACGUGGGUAACCUACCCGGAGGUGGGGGAUAACCCUUCCAAAGGAGGGCUAAUACCGCAUGACAUCCCAUGGUCCCCGGACUUUGGGAUCAAAGCUGGCCUCUGUUUACAAGCUAGCGCCACUGGAGGGGCCCGCGCCCCAUUAGCUAGUUGGUGAGGUCAUGGCUCACCAAGGCGACGAUGGGUAGCCGGCCUGAGAGGGUGAUCGGCCACACUGGAACUGAGACACGGUCCAGACUCCUACGGGAGGCAGCAGUGAGGAAUCUUGCGCAAUGGGCGAAAGCCUGACGCAGCGACGCCGCGUGGAGGAUGAAGGUCCUCGGAUUGUAAACUCCUGUGAGGUGGGACGAAUGCCGCGAGGGUGAACAUCCCUCGCGGUUGACGGUACCAUCAGAGGAAGCCCCGGCUAACUCCGUGCCAGCAGCCGCGGUAAUACGGAGGGGGCAAGCGUUGUUCGGAAUCAUUGGGCGUAAAGGGCGCGUAGGCGGCUGACCAAGCCGGACGUGAAAUCCCUCGGCUCAACUGGGGAACUGCGUCCGAUACUGUUCAGCUUGAGUCCCGGAGAGGGUAGUGGAAUUCCCAGUGUAGCGGUGAAAUGCGUAGAUACUGGGAGGAACACCGGUGGCGAAGGCGGCUACCUGGGCGGGUACUGACGCUGAGGCGCGAAAGCUAGGGGAGCAAACAGGAUUAGAUACCCUGGUAGUCCUAGCUGUAAACGAUGGGCACUUGGUGUUGCGGGUAUCGACCCCUGCAGUGCCGAAGCUAACGCAUUAAGUGCCCCGCCUGGGGAGUACGGUCGCAAGGCUGAAACUCAAAGGAAUUGACGG